GUCUGUGCUUUGAUUUGUAGAACUUUUCCUGAACAUUGGGCUUGCCUGGAGAUGACAUUGAAAAGUUCCCAUAUUACAGGCAGACAGCUGAAUGCCCUCAAGCUGAAACCUUUGCACUGCUAUUACAGCUCUGGUAUCCUGUAGCAAGUAAGAACAUAACAUUACAACUGUUCACACGUGGGAGAUGGAGGAACUGCAUUAAAUGCCCAUCAGAUAGGAAGACUUGGUGUGAGAACCAUAUGGAAGGGAAGAAGUAUCCUAGACCCAAGAUGCAAGUUUAUGGAUUGCAAGACAGGAGGCCCAAUACUGAAACAGCAUCUCACAAAAGUGCCAUGGAUUUCUGUAGCCUAAAUAUCCUGAAAACUGUCCAACACUUGUCCUUCUCACACUUGACAGCAAGGACUCUUUCUGCUUUUCCUCCAGGCCUGGUGGCCAUGUCACAUGGGGCUCAAGCUUUCUGGCAUUUCAAGCAGAAGUGGAAGAAGUUUAAUGGACAAUGAUUGCUGUCAAGCCCUGCAGGGACAGGUUUCAAGUGGCAGCUAUGUGGGAUAAAUGCAGCAUGUGGAAUACAGGGCCUGAGGGAUGCUCAGCACCCAGCAUUACAGGAUUCUGCCUUUUUCUUGUCUUUGGUGAGUCUGCCUGGGUGAAUGAGGCUUACCUGUGGGAGUUGUAAAGUAUGUUGCUAAGUUUAUUUUUGGUGUUUCUUUUAAAAGUCUUCUGUGCCUGUUGCCAAACAUAAGAUGUUUGUUUUCAGACUCUAACUUCUCAGGUAAAGCUGUCAUGUUUAUUCUGACUCACUACAUCAACACAUAAACAUGAGAUUUUUGUUUACAUUUAUUACUCUUUGUGUAUCUUUAUAUAGCCUGGAAAUAUUUUUGUCAAGGCUUUAUUCAUUUCCAGUGUAUGAAAGAAUGAGGGAAAAAAGUGCCACUACAUAACCUAAUCUCAGAAGUUGUAUUUGAACAAUAUGUUGGCUGUGGCACAGGAGGAUACAGUUAAACCUGAGGCAGGUUUGGGUUUACUGCUUCUGGUACAACUAACAACCUUAGCUUUGACCAUCACUUGACAUUAAAAAUAAUUUUCCACUUUUCAACAUGAAAGCUGUGAGUCAUCCCUGAAAUGAGUAUUGCCUGUGUGGUGCAUUUGAGGAAUGGUUUGGGGCAGGUUAACUUGGUUCUAUAAUCUAUCAUCCACUUUGCAGUGCUUUAAUGUACUAACAUUUUCACAGGCUGCAGACAGUGGCUCUCUGCUCAGAUUAACCACAAGCUCAUUCUGCUUCACCACAGUUUGACCUCUCUGAUGUGAAUGUGGCUACACAUUAAUGUGUUUGCAGACUGUGAAUGUAUAUUUGGCUAUAGAUGUGUCAAGGCAUGCAUAGCACAGAAAUUGUUUUUAUUUUUAAAUGUGUUUGGUUUUGACUGUGAUCUGGCUGGUCGUUUAUUCCUGGUAAAUGAUUUUUGUGGUGUCAGUCAUUUGUGGAGUGCUGUUAAAUAUUGGUCC
This 1500-nucleotide long non-coding RNA is filed under the name Cyanistes caeruleus (blue tit). RNAcentral's name for it is "lncRNA (ENSCCEG00000008663.1)". The record is from RNAcentral. Lineage: Eukaryota; Metazoa; Chordata; Aves; Passeriformes; Paridae.